This 429-nucleotide ribosomal RNA is filed under the name Pseudomonadota bacterium. Its description in RNAcentral is "Proteobacteria bacterium partial 16S ribosomal RNA". It matches the Rfam family "Bacterial small subunit ribosomal RNA", at positions 355 to 776 of the family's 1533-position model. Lineage: Bacteria; Pseudomonadati; Pseudomonadota. The record is from RNAcentral.
UGGGGAAUAUUGGACAAUGGGCGAAAGCCUGAUCCAGCCAUGCCGCGUGUGUGAAGAAGGUCUUCGGAUUGUAAAGCACUUUAAGUUGGGAGGAAGGGCAGUAAGCGAAUACCUUGCUGUUUUGACGUUACCGACAGAAUAAGCACCGGCUAACGCUGUGCCAGCAGCCGCGGUAAUACAGAGGGUGCAAGCGUUAAUCGGAAUUACUGGGCGUAAAGCGCGCGUAGGUGGUUCGUUAAGUUGAAUGUGAAAGCCCCGGGCUCAAACUGGUAACUGCAUCCAAAACUGGCGAGCUAGGGUAGGGCAGAGGGUGGUGGAAUUUCCUGUGUAGCGGUGAAAGGCGUAGAUAUAGGAAGGAAAACCAGUGGCGAAGGCGACCACCUGGGCUCAUACUGACACUGAGGUGCGAAAGCGUGGGGAGCAAACAGG